RNAcentral lists this ribosomal RNA (429 nucleotides) under Chloroflexota bacterium. Its description in RNAcentral is "Chloroflexi bacterium partial 16S ribosomal RNA". It matches the Rfam family "Bacterial small subunit ribosomal RNA", at positions 355 to 776 of the family's 1533-position model. The record is from RNAcentral. Lineage: Bacteria; Bacillati; Chloroflexota.
UGGGGAAUAUUGCACAAUGGGCGCAAGCCUGAUGCAGCCAUGCCGCGUGUGUGAAGAAGGCCUUCGGGUUGUAAAGCACUUUCAGCGGGGAGGAAGGCGAUAAGGUUAAUAACCUUGUCGAUUGACGUUACCCGCAGAAGAAGCACCGGCUAACUCCGUGCCAGCAGCCGCGGUAAUAUGGAGGGUGCAAGCGUUAAUCGGAAUUACUGGGCGUAAAGCGCACGCAGGCGGUCUGUCAAGUCGGAUGUGAAAUCCCCGGGCUCAACCUGGGAACUGCAUUCGAAACUGGCAGGCUAGAGUCUUGUAGAGGGGGGUAGAAUUCCAGGUGUAGCGGUGAAAUGCGUAGAGAUCUGGAGGAAUACCGGUGGCGAAGGCGGCCCCCUGGACAAAGACUGACGCUCAGGUGCGAAAGCGUGGGGAGCAAACAGG